AUUGAACGCUGGCGGCAGGCCUAACACAUGCAAGUCGAGCGGAUGAAGGGAGCUUGCUCCUGGAUUCAGCGGCGGACGGGUGAGUAAUGCCUAGGAAUCUGCCUGGUAGUGGGGGAUAACGUCCGGAAACGGGCGCUAAUACCGCAUACGUCCUGAGGGAGAAAGUGGGGGAUCUUCGGACCUCACGCUAUCAGAUGAGCCUAGGUCGGAUUAGCUAGUUGGUGGGGUAAAGGCCUACCAAGGCGACGAUCCGUAACUGGUCUGAGAGGAUGAUCAGUCACACUGGAACUGAGACACGGUCCAGACUCCUACGGGAGGCAGCAGUGGGGAAUAUUGGACAAUGGGCGAAAGCCUGAUCCAGCCAUGCCGCGUGUGUGAAGUAGGUCCUCGGAUUGUAAAGCACUUUAAGUUGGGAGGAAGGGCAGUAAGUUAAUACCUUGCUGUUUUGACGUUACCAACAGAAUAAGCACCGGCUAACUUCGUG
This 484-nucleotide ribosomal RNA is filed under the name uncultured bacterium. RNAcentral's name for it is "partial 16S ribosomal RNA". It matches the Rfam family "Bacterial small subunit ribosomal RNA", at positions 30 to 507 of the family's 1533-position model. The record is from RNAcentral.